GAUGAACGCUGGCGGCGUGCCUAAUACAUGCAAGUCGAGCGAACGGACGAGAAGCUUGCUUUUCUGAUGUUAGCGGCGGACGGGUGAGUAACACGUGGAUAACCUACCUAUAAGACUGGGAUAACUUCGGGAAACCGGAGCUAAUACCGGAUAAUAUUUUGAACCGCAUGGUUCAAAAGUGAAAGACGGUCUUGCUGUCACUUAUAGAUGGAUCCGCGCUGCAUUAGCUAGUUGGUAAGGUAACGGCUUACCAAGGCAACGAUGCAUAGCCGACCUGAGAGGGUGAUCGGCCACACUGGAACUGAGACACGGUCCAGACUCCUACGGGAGGCAGCAGUAGGGAAUCUUCCGCAAUGGGCGAAAGCCUGACGGAGCAACGCCGCGUGAGUGAUGAAGGUCUUCAGAUCGUAAAACUCUGUUAUUAGGGAAGAACAUAUGUGUAAGUAACUGUGCACAUCUUGACGGUACCUAAUCAGAAAGCCACGGCUAACUACGUG
This 497-nucleotide ribosomal RNA is filed under the name uncultured bacterium. Its description in RNAcentral is "partial 16S ribosomal RNA". It matches the Rfam family "Bacterial small subunit ribosomal RNA", at positions 28 to 507 of the family's 1533-position model. The record is from RNAcentral.